UACGAAGGGGACUAGCGUUGUUCGGAAUUACUGGGCGUAAAGCGUGCGUAGACGGUUAUUUAAGUCAGGUGUGAAAGCCCCGGGCUCAACCUGGGAAUUGCAUUUGAGACUGAAUAGCUAGGGUGCGGAAGAGGGAAGCGGAAUUUCCGGUGUAGCGGUGAAAUGCGUAGAUAUGCGGAGGAACACCGAUGGCGAAGGCAAUCCCCUGGGCCUGCACUGACGCUCAUGCACGAAAGCGUGGGGAGCAAACAGG
Molecule: ribosomal RNA, 253 nt
Filed under: uncultured bacterium
Lineage: Bacteria
Description: partial 16S ribosomal RNA
Rfam family: Bacterial small subunit ribosomal RNA
Source: RNAcentral